RNAcentral lists this ribosomal RNA (253 nucleotides) under uncultured bacterium. RNAcentral describes it as "partial 16S ribosomal RNA". It matches the Rfam family "Bacterial small subunit ribosomal RNA", at positions 524 to 776 of the family's 1533-position model. The record is from RNAcentral.
UACGGAGGGAGCUAGCGUUGUUCGGAAUUACUGGGCGUAAAGCGCGCGUAGGCGGCUUUGUAAGUUAGAGGUGAAAGCCCGGAGCUCAACUCCGGAACUGCCUUUAAAACUGCAUCGCUUGAAUCCAGGAGAGGUGGGUGGAAUUCCGAGUGUAGAGGUGAAAUUCGUAGAUAUUCGGAAGAACACCAGUGGCGAAGGCGGCUCACUGGACUGGUAUUGACGCUGAGACUCGAAAGCGUGGGGAGCAAACAGG